CAUUAAAGACUAUGUCACUGUAA
This 23-nucleotide small nuclear RNA is filed under the name Arabidopsis thaliana (thale cress). RNAcentral describes it as "snRNA_12214". The record is from RNAcentral. Lineage: Eukaryota; Viridiplantae; Streptophyta; Magnoliopsida; Brassicales; Brassicaceae.